Molecule: ribosomal RNA, 608 nt
Filed under: Trichoderma citrinoviride
Lineage: Eukaryota; Fungi; Ascomycota; Sordariomycetes; Hypocreales; Hypocreaceae
Description: eukaryotic LSU rRNA
Rfam family: 5.8S ribosomal RNA (bases 225-378)
Source: RNAcentral
AGGGGAUUCCGAGCUAACUCCCAACCCAAUGUGAACGUUACCAAUCUGUUGCCUCGGCGGGAUUCUCUGCCCCGGGCGCGUCGCAGCCCCGGAUCCCAUGGCGCCCGCCGGAGGACCAACUCAAACUCUUUUUUCUCUCCGUCGCGGCCUACGUCGCGGCUCUGUUUUAUUUUUGCUCUGAGCCUUUCUCGGCGACCCUAGCGGGCGUCUCGAAAAUGAAUCAAAACUUUCAACAACGGAUCUCUUGGUUCUGGCAUCGAUGAAGAACGCAGCGAAAUGCGAUAAGUAAUGUGAAUUGCAGAAUUCAGUGAAUCAUCGAAUCUUUGAACGCACAUUGCGCCCGCCAGUAUUCUGGCGGGCAUGCCUGUCCGAGCGUCAUUUCAACCCUCGAACCCCUCCGGGGGGUCGGCGUUGGGGAUCGGCCCCUCACCGGGCCGCCCCCGAAAUACAGUGGCGGUCUCGCCGCAGCCUCUCCUGCGCAGUAGUUUGCACACUCGCACCGGGAGCGCGGCGCGGCCACAGCCGUAAAACACCCCAAACUCUGAAAUGUUGACCUCGGAUCAGGUAGGAAUACCCGCUGAACUUAAGCAUAUCAAUAAGCGGAGGAA